CGAGUCCCCGGUUCCGGGAGAUUCGAGCGCGAGCCGCGGUGUCCCUGGGGCGCGAGGCAGCUCGAUUAAAAAAUCAAACGCGAGCCACUCGAUCGGACCCGAGCGAACUCACCACGGCUGACACACGGCUUUAGGGCUUUGACAGCACAGCGGUCGCGUAAUGGCAACGACCCUGCACCCUGCACGCGCACUUCGGACACUUACCCGUCCGCACUUUCUGCACUCGGGCGAAAGAGAGAGAAAGAGGCGCGUAUAUCUCGAGAGAAAGAGAAAGUGAGAGGAAGCCGGGUAGCCGUGGGGAAGGCGCGACGUACGACUGCAAGAGGAAAAAACAGACCCCAUGACUCACGGCGCAAGACGUUGUCGCGAAACUGCCAUUAUUUAUCGCCUUGAUCACGCUUACCCUUCGUUGCAGGCCUGCAAGUACGACGACACGGUCUACCUCUCGGCUCGUCGAGGCCGAUCGAGGGAUCCUACGGAAGGAUCUCGGACGAUCUCCUCUUCCGGAGAGAUCCGCUCUUACCUUUACUCUCCUCGGGGCGUGAACGUGACACUCACGGGUCUGCCUCUCUUAUCGGUAACGGAGCGAAAGUCACGUUAUCUCAGCACCACACCCAAUUCGGUUCGGAUCUUGCUCGAGCGAGAACGAACGCCUCGCCGGUGAUGAUUCCCGUGAAGAAAAGAUUCCGCGAAGUACUCUCGUCGAGCACCAGUUAUACCGGACAGCCGCGAGUACCAUGCGACGAUUGCGUGUGGAGUACCUGCCCCCCGCGCCGGUGAAACUUUAGACCAGUUUAGUACCAGACGGGGUAGGGGAGCGUGCGAGAGAUGACGUAUUCACAGGCACUUCUUAAAAAGAGAUGUUUAAUUUUAAGCAGAAUUAUUAGUGAUUAGUUAAAAAGCUGAAAGUUGAAUAAUACAUUUAAAAAUGUUAAAAACUUAACUUAUUGUGAGUCACUUUGAUUCAAUAAAAGUCCUUAAGUGCUGAAAGUUUAUUUAUACAUUGUGAAUAUGUAAAAUGAUGUGUAUACAUGUAUUAUAUAUGAUUGUACUUUUACACUUUUUUUUUAAUUUUUAAGUUUUAUUCUAGCUGACAAGGAAUUUGAAGCAUUAUGUUUCAAGCUUGAGCUGGAUGAAGUAACAAUGGAAAAGCAAAUGAUAGCAAGAGUAGGGUUUUGACCAAGGUAUAGAUGCGUCCGAAGAAAUUAUCUACAAGAUUGAUAUACCUGUCAACAGAUAUUAUCUGUUGUGCUUGGAGCCUAAGUACUGGACUACUUAUAUUGUUGAAUAAAACAUACAAAAGGACUGCAAUUGGUAAUAAAAAGCAAAACACAUAAUGCAAAUUACGCAAGAACUGUAUAAAGGAUGUAUGCCAGGACUCUUCAAAUUUCACUUUUUAAAUGUUCUUCCACCUAGGCUGAAAGCCUUUUACAUAUACAUAUAUAUAUAAAGUAUUUUUUUCUAAACAGGAUGUUCAUCUCACAUUAUAUGGCAAUAAAACCAAAUGCAGGAAUGGAAAAGAUUAUAAUAACUUCAGAAUGCUUGAAAAUAAGAGGACAUUUGGUUGUUUCAAUUUUGAGAGAUGUUACUUUGAUGCAAGAUUCUUACAAUAGUUUUAUUGAUCUUCAAGAUAAGUUGCAUCAAAAUAUAGGAAGAAAACAUAGUCUGAUCUCUAUUGGCACUCAUGAUUUGGAUGCAAUUAAAGGUCCAUUUCUAUAUGAUGCUAGACAACAUGAAAAAUAUAGCUCAAACCACUUAAUCCAGAUAAGCAGUUUUCACUAAACAAGUUGACUGACUUAAUUCGAAUAGAAACGGCCCAGGCAGAAUUCACUGAAGCAUUGACUUUCUCUUUGUGCUCACGUGAGAAUGUAGCGGAUAAAUUGGGAUACGAAAUAGAAGAUGUACCGGCAGUUCACAUAUCCAAUCUAAAAACUUUGGAGUUUCAAAUAAAUCGACCGAUACCGCGCGCUCUUAUUAAAACCUCGAAAACAAGAGUAGUUCUAUUCUUGAUUUCUUUUUAUUUGAACGAUACAUGUGUGUAAUAGAACGUAAACAGAUAUCGUUAUGCGGACGUUUAAAUAAAAAAAAAAAUUUGCAAA
Monomorium pharaonis (pharaoh ant) is the source of this 2099-nucleotide long non-coding RNA. RefSeq lists it as uncharacterized. The transcript is spliced from 5 exons. Lineage: Eukaryota; Metazoa; Arthropoda; Insecta; Hymenoptera; Formicidae. The record is from RefSeq and is a predicted model, not a curated record.